AGAUGUUUGAGUGAGCCCAGAUGCCAUCAGCAGAGUCUGGACCAGGCCGGCAGAAUCGCCCGUCUGAGACCAGCCGGGACUUCAGACCCUCACAUCUGUGGGCUACGGUGAUGAACAGUCGUUUCCGUUGAGACUUAAUGAUGUCCAGCCGGGCUGUGGUUGGUUCCUAACAGAGAAACAGAAAUCAUAAAACAGAAAGGAGUCCUGGAGACAGCAUAAUUUUCCAGAGGAGUGUACUUUGGACCGAAGAGCCAAGGGACUUGCUCAGAGUCGCAGCCAGCUAGUGGCAGAGCCAGGAGCAGAGCCCAUGCCUCCAGACCAAGAAGUCUGCCUUCCCCAGUGUAAGGAAUGUCCUGUGAACCACAGUACACGGGUGCAAACUGACCAGCCAAUGAUCCAUUAACCAGAGCUUACUGAUGAUUAUUAGUGGAUCUGGUUAGGUCUCUGCUUUGCUCUCCGCAUUGGGCUAAGACUGGAGGAAAAUAUGAGGAAAAACAGAAAAGUGUGGUGGACUCAGAAGCUGUGAGGUGCACGGUAGUAAGUCAGCUUCUCAGUGUUUGCAAUUUCAGUGAAGCUCUUGUGCUUCUUGUUAAUUUUUCCAAUAAAUAUUUAU
Molecule: long non-coding RNA, 613 nt
Organism: Sciurus carolinensis (gray squirrel)
Lineage: Eukaryota; Metazoa; Chordata; Mammalia; Rodentia; Sciuridae
Exons: 3
Source: RefSeq, a predicted model, not a curated record